UUCCAUGGGUCAACAUUAAGAUGAAAGGUCAGGGCUCAGCUUUCAGAGGAAAACAUGAGUAAGUAAUGCCUGCAGCCCCUGAGCACCGUUAAGUUUCUUGUAGAGUGGAAGCUCUCUCAUGGAUUUGAAGGGAAUGUUGCAAGGAGCUUUAUGAGUCAAGGGCAAUGUUCCUCCCCAAGAAUUCAUCGGUGCUGGCUGGAGUUUGAUCAUCACUUAAUCUCUUCCAGUCUCACUCGCAAGGUCCCAUCUAGGUCGCCAAAAACUGUCACCAUGGACCCCAAGCUCUCUUCUUUUGGGUCACUUGGAAAGCAGUGAGUUAAGGAGGAUUUGGGGAGAGUUCCACAACAUCCUUGAUUCAGCCAGAGCCUCCAUGUCCCCUUCUUCAGAAGAUGUAUCAGUCUCCUCACCAUACUUGCUGUUUUCUAGUUCAGUUGGUGGGUCCCACCUCUGAUGUGAUGACACCCCAAGGCUAUACUAUGCCACCUCCUUAUGAGAAAAUUAGGCACAGACUGAAUGGUCUGAGUUCUCCUUCUUGCCUUACCUGCUGAUUUUAACUAAGGAUAUUUGAGUUGUCUUUAGCUGUCUGACGGCUACAAACCCUAAUGGGAAAAAAAGGAGAGGUGUGAACAAGGGAAUGAGGCAAAUCAGAGCUCAUUUGGGGUUUGCAAAGUUGAGAAGAAUAGUGUGAAAGCAAAGACCAUUUGCCUUUACAAUGCUGAGUUUGCACAUAUCACCUCUGUCAUCAGGGAUACUGCCUGCUUCUGUUCUUACAGUUAAAACAGUUGCACAAAGUGUCCUGUUCCACUGGUUAUGGCAUUAGCAAGCUGUGUGGACUGAAAGGGGUGAAGACCACGGUCAACAGACCACAGGGAAGAGGGCUCAGCUACUCAGGAAACCUUGUAUUUUAUGGCUGGGAAGCAAUAAAGCAGAGGAUUGGUGAGGAAAAAAUGAAGAAAAUGUGUGAAACUUGAUGCAAGCAUUGAGGGAAAGAAAAGGAGAAUUUAAGGCGAAGUUAAAUUAAACCUGUGCCGGUGGUUGCGUGAUCUUCAUAAAAUAGGCUUGGAAACGGGAGGAUUUUUUGCUGAUGCCACUGGCGUGUGAGCACCCAGUGCCCUCUGCUGACACCACUGCAGGCAGCUUAUGCAAUGCACGGUGCUUCUGAUCUCCUCAUUCCUUUGGCAGCAGGAAAAACCACAGGUCCCCCUCUGGGGAAAUGCUGAA
Long non-coding RNA from Neopsephotus bourkii (Bourke's parrot), 1221 nucleotides. RefSeq lists it as uncharacterized. The transcript has 3 exons. NCBI's taxonomy places the organism in Eukaryota, Metazoa, Chordata, Aves, Psittaciformes, Psittacidae. The record is from RefSeq and is a predicted model, not a curated record.